UCACCUGUUUUUCAAAAACAUGUCUUAAAGAUUAUAAUUUUAAGUCAAAUCUGCUCAAUGAAUUUAUUUAUUUUAAAUAGCUGCAGUAUCUAUAACUGUACUAAGGUAGCAUAAUAAAUAGUUUUUUAAUUGAAAACUAGAAUGAAUGAUUUAAUGAAAUAUAAACUGUAUCAAACUUAAAAAAUAAAAUUGUUCUUUAAGUAAAAAAAUUUAAAUUUUUAUUAAAGACGAAAAGACCCUAAAGAAUUUUCAUAAUUUUUUAUUAACUAUUUUAAUUUAAAAUUAUUUUAAUUGGGGAAAUUUUAAAAUUUUAAAAAUUUUUAAUUAAAUUAACAUAAAUUUUUGAAUAAUUAAAAUUUUAUAAAAAAAUAAAUUUAAAUUACCUUAGGGAUAACAGCAUAAUUUUUUUUAAAAGUUCAAAUUUAAAAAAAAGUUUAUGACCUCG
RNAcentral lists this ribosomal RNA (445 nucleotides) under Dolichogenidea sp. 2 SY-2020. RNAcentral describes it as "partial large subunit ribosomal RNA". RNAcentral also lists the same sequence under 1 other name. Lineage: Eukaryota; Metazoa; Arthropoda; Insecta; Hymenoptera; Braconidae. The record is from RNAcentral.